GACGAACGCUGGCGGCGUGCUUAACACAUGCAAGUCGAGCGGUAAGGCCCUUUCGGGGGUACACGAGCGGCGAACGGGUGAGUAACACGUGGGUGACCUGCCCUCAGCUCUGGGAUAAGCCUGGGAAACUGGGUCUAAUACUGGAUAUGACUCCACGGUGCAUGUCGUGGGGUGGAAAGCCUUGUGCGGCUGAGGAUGGGCCCGCGGCCUAUCAGCUUGUUGGUGGGGUGAUGGCCUACCAAGGCGACGACGGGUAGCCGGCCUGAGAGGGCGACCGGCCACACUGGGACUGAGACACGGCCCAGACUCCUACGGGAGGCAGCAGUGGGGAAUCUUGCGCAAUGGGCGAAAGCCUGACGCAGCGACGCCGCGUGAGGGAUG
Molecule: ribosomal RNA, 381 nt
Filed under: uncultured bacterium
Lineage: Bacteria
Description: bacterial SSU rRNA
Rfam family: Bacterial small subunit ribosomal RNA
Source: RNAcentral